This 158-nucleotide ribosomal RNA is filed under the name Sclerotinia sclerotiorum. RNAcentral's name for it is "5.8S ribosomal RNA". The stretch from base 30 to 158 matches the Rfam family "5.8S ribosomal RNA", at positions 1 to 129 of the family's 154-position model. Rfam says of the family: 5.8S ribosomal RNA (5.8S rRNA) is a component of the large subunit of the eukaryotic ribosome. It is transcribed by RNA polymerase I as part of the 45S precursor that also contains 18S and 28S rRNA. Lineage: Eukaryota; Fungi; Ascomycota; Leotiomycetes; Helotiales; Sclerotiniaceae. RNAcentral also lists the same sequence under 3 other names. The record is from RNAcentral.
AUGUCGUCUGAGUACUAUAUAAUAGUUAAAACUUUCAACAACGGAUCUCUUGGUUCUGGCAUCGAUGAAGAACGCAGCGAAAUGCGAUAAGUAAUGUGAAUUGCAGAAUUCAGUGAAUCAUCGAAUCUUUGAACGCACAUUGCGCCCCUUGGUAUUCC